Long non-coding RNA from Anas platyrhynchos (mallard), 320 nucleotides. RefSeq lists it as uncharacterized. NCBI's taxonomy places the organism in Eukaryota, Metazoa, Chordata, Aves, Anseriformes, Anatidae. The record is from RefSeq and is a predicted model, not a curated record.
GUCACUCCAGACUCAGAUUCGGAAAGAAGCAAAGCAAGCGAGAGGAAAACUGGAUGUCCUGGAUCCAAAGCUCCGUAUUACCGUGGAUCUUCUCCUCUGAUCUGGAAAGCUUCACAGGCCAAAAGAGAAUUGAGAUGAAGAAGGAAAUAGAGAAUGCUGACCAAUAUUGCCAAGUGCCACCCGUAUGAGGUGCAGAAGAACACUGCAAGCAGCUGAAGCCGUAUCAGACACAUGCUUCUGCUAGGAAGUCAUUCCGAGUGAUUCCACGGUGUACUUUAGACAGGUUUGCUCUGGUCCUCUGGACUCAGCAUCCCCAAGGG